GUCGAGCGGAGAUUUGAAAAGCUUGCUUUUCAAAUCUUAGCGGCGGACGGGUGAGUAACACGUGGGCAACCUGCCCUUGAGACGGGGAUAACUCCGGGAAACCGGAGCUAAUACCGGAUAACACAUAUCUUCGCAUGAGGAUAUGUUAGAAGGUGGCUUUUAGCUACCACUCAAGGAUGGGCCCGCGGCGCAUUAGCUAGUUGGUGAGGUAACGGCUCACCAAGGCGACGAUGCGUAGCCGACCUGAGAGGGUGAUCGGCCACACUGGGACUGAGACACGGCCCAGACUCCUACGGGAGGCAGCAGUAGGGAAUCUUCCGCAAUGGACGAAAGUCUGACGGAGCAACGCCGCGUGAGUGAUGAAGGUUUUCGGAUCGUAAAGCUCUGUUGUUAGGGAAGAACAAGUACCUGUUAAAUAAGCAGGUACCUUGACGGUACCUAACCAGAAAGCCACGGCUAACUACGUGCCAGCAGCCGCGGUAAUACGUAGGUGGCAAGCGUUGUCCGGAAUUAUUGGGCGUAAAGCGCGCGCAGGCGGUUCCUUAAGUCUGAUGUGAAAGCCCACGGCUCAACCGUGGAGGGUCAUUGGAAACUGGGGAACUUGAGUGCAGAAGAGGAGAGCGGAAUUCCACGUGUAGCGGUGAAAUGCGUAGAGAUGUGGAGGAACACCAGUGGCGAAGGCGGCUCUCUGGUCUGUAACUGACGCUGAGGCGCGAAAGCGUGGGGAGCGAACAGGAUUAGAUACCCUGGUAGUCCACGCCGUAAACGAUGAGUGCUAAGUGUUAGAGGGUUUCCGCCCUUUAGUGCUGCAGCAAACGCAUUAAGCACUCCGCCUGGGGAGUACGGUCGCAAGACUGAAACUCAAGGAAUUGACGGGGACCCGCACAAGCGGUGGAGCAUGUGGUUUAAUUCGAAGCAAC
This 920-nucleotide ribosomal RNA is filed under the name Priestia endophytica. RNAcentral describes it as "bacterial SSU rRNA". It matches the Rfam family "Bacterial small subunit ribosomal RNA", at positions 61 to 960 of the family's 1533-position model. Lineage: Bacteria; Bacillati; Bacillota; Bacilli; Caryophanales; Bacillaceae. The record is from RNAcentral.